CCGAGCGGCGCACCUGUUGGCUGGCGCCCCGGGCCCCGCCCGCCACCCCGAGCGCCCGGCCCGGCGAGGGCGAAGGCAGGAGGGACAGUGCGAGCGGGGGGCACCGGGUGGCGGCGGCGGCGGCCCCGGGAUCACCAUGGCCGAGCUGCUCUGGAGCCUGCAGGAUUCCCAGCUCGUCGCCCGCUUCCAGCGCCGCUGCGGGCUCUUCCCCGCGCCGGAUGAAGGCCCCGGCGAGCCCUGUGCUAGCCCCGCGGAGGGCGCGGCGCGGGCGCCCGGGCUCGGGCAUCUCCCCGCGGCCAAAGGCAGGGGCGCCGGGGAGCCGGCCAAUGGGCUGCGGAGAGUCGCGGUCCCGCAGGCUUAUGUACAGAAGUACAUUGUGAAGAAUUAUUUCUACUAUUACCUAUUCAGAUUUUCAGCCGCUUUGGGACAAGAAGUGUUCUACAUCACAUUCCUUCCAUUCACUCACUGGAAUAUUGAUCCUUAUUUGUCCAGAAGACUGACCAUCAUAUGGGUUUUGGUGAUGUAUAUUGGCCAGGUGGCCAAGGAUGUCUUGAAGUGGCCCCGCCCCUUUUCCCCUCCUGUUGUGAAACUGGAGAAGAGAGUGAUUGCUGAAUAUGGGAUGCCGUCCACCCACGCCAUGGCAGCCACCGCCAUCUCCUUCACCCUCCUCAUCUCUACCAUGGACAGAUACCAGUAUCCCUUUGUUUUGGGACUGAUGAUGGCUGUGGUGUUUUCCACGUUGGUGAGUCUCAGCAGACUUUACACUGGGAUGCACACAGUCCUGGAUGUGCUGGGUGGUAUCCUGAUCACCGCCAUCCUCAUCGUCCUCACCUACCCCGCCUGGACCCUUAUCGAUCGCCUGGACUCGGCCAGCCCCCUCUUCCCUGUGUGUGUCCUGGUGGUGCCAUUCUUCUUGUGUUACAAUUACCCCGUGUCCGAUUACUACAGCCCGACCAGAGCGGACACCACCACCAUUAUGGCUGCCGGGGCUGGGGUGACCAUAGGAUUCUGGAUCAACCAUUUUUUCCAGCUCGUGUCCAAGCCCACGGACUCUCUCCCUGUUAUUCAGAACAUCCCGCCCCUCACCAGGGACCUGUUAGUUUUGGGUCUGACCAGAUUUACGGUGGGAAUUGUGCUGCUCCUCCUGGUUCGUCAACUUGUACAGAAUCUCUCGCUGCAAGUGCUGUACUCCUGGUUCAAGGUGGUCACCAGAAACAAGGAGGCCAGGCGGAGACUGGAGAUUGAAGUGCCUUACAAGUUUGUCACCUACACGUCAGUUGGCAUCUGUGCUACCACCUUCGUGCCAAUGCUACACAGGUUUCUGGGAUUACUGUGAGCCUCAAGUGGUUGGAAAUUAGCUCACUGGACAUGAGAGCAAGACAUCAAAAAGUUGUUGAGUGGGGAAGUUUUGACAACACAUUUUUCUUUAAAAAAAAAAAAUGCCCUAAGUCACAUGUCUGUUUUGCUGGUACCUGAGAGAAAUGUUGCUGCUUUAUGGAAGGAAAAAUGGUCUCAUGGUGACCACUAGCCUGUAAGCGUCAUGUUGCAGAUGAAGCCAGGCAAACCCGCAGCUGAGUUCUUUAAGGCGCCUCACCCUGUCCAUUACUUGGACUUUGGACCAGUCCUGGGCUGGCAGGAGUUGUGGCCUGGCUUAGGAACGGCCACAAGCCCCCCUGGGUUCUGGAGAGCCUAAGGAGACGGGCAUGAUCCAGGAGGCUGGAUGUCGGGCGUUCCUUUUCAGUUGUGACCUUGGCCAGCACUGAGCCUCAUUUCCAAAACUGGAAUGUUGGCCCAAGAGAAAACGUGGCGCCACGUAAAACUGCAUUCCUUGGACAGGGCGACUUUCUUGUCACGAUGAUCACAUUAGACAGUGCCUGCUCCGGGGGGGAAGAGCACCGGGAACCUCGCUGGGAAGCAGGAAAGGUGGGGGCAAAGCUGGCGAGGUCACGGGCAAGAGCCUGCUUUCCUUAUGCAUCCUGGUCUCUGUCGGGUGCAUACUGAACCGGGAUCCACUCCUCGUUUGUACACUUUGCAGGAUUCCAGGCACCAUUUCUGUCCUCUUCUGACCCAUGAACCCAACUGGCUGCUCCCAUCUCAUCUCAUCUGGGUUCCUUUGAGUGUCCUGCUCUCUCCUGCGUCAGAGUGACUUGGGACAAGCCCUCUGCUCUUCUUCAGCUUUCUUGCUUCCUUACAAACUGGGAAGACGGUGUCGUCUGCCUGUGAAAGUGGAUCAAUAGAAGAACAGAUGAACACAAUCGUUCCUGGGGCCUGACAAAGAGGGACUAGCCCUCCCUCCCUGACACUCGUCCUCCACUUCUUAGUUACUUCUCCUAAAUCUAUUUUCUCAUCUGCUGAAUAGCAUCAGCGGCUCCCUUUCCAUCUUCCCACCUCUUACCUCUUGGCAGUUUUAAGGGUAAUUAAUGCAAGAACAACAUCAGCCUCUCUUAGGAAAACAAGCCAACAAAAUACAACACCUUUAAAUCUCGGGGAGAGUCCUUAGACUUAGGAAGGUGGUCAUUAUGCAGACAACCCCCUGCAGGGGUUCCUCUUCAGUUCUUAAGAAUGAGGAGGAAAAGGUAUCAACAAUGUUCUUAAAAGUGAGUAGCAACAUGUAAUUAACAAAGUGUCUUUUGCGUGUAGUGCCUGAGCUGCUGAGCCAAUGAUUUAUAACCCUCGUGCAUCCUCACCAUGCACACACUUUGGGGGAAAAUUAGCCUGCCUGGAGAGUAAGGCUCUUACCUCUGCAUCCAGUGUGAAAACCGAACACCCGUUUCUCCUGAUUUUGAAUACACACCCUGGCCUUUCGGUUGUGAUGAUCUUUAGUAUUUGACUUAAUGCUCCAGUUUAUUGAGAAGAAUAAUUGUAAGACAUCCUGUUUCUCCUUCAAAUUCUUCUGAGAUUUUUCAUAGUUAGAAGGCUGGGGUCAAAAUGACUUGCCGUUUGCCUGUUUUUAGAUCAUACUCUGACCAGUAUUUGUGGCACCGUGAUGGGGAGAUGCCCCAGCUCACGGGCACCCCUUCCCUAGGCCGCCCCACAAUGCAGUGCAUGGGGCACUUCCCUGUACCUCCGUCCCCACAGGCUGCCAAACCCGAGGUCACAGUGCUAGCUAAUAUUUACGCAAAAUGAUUUUAGUUGAUUUCUCUGAAGCCAACUAGCAAAAGGAUCAGCCUUUUCCACUUGUAUCUUUUGAGAAGAAGGGCCAUAAUUAUUGUCACAGCAGUGGGUGUGGGUGAUUCAUCUGUGUGUGUGUAAAUUUUACUGCUGUCCUUUCGUUUUAAGUCCCGACAAUAGGAUUGCGAUCAGCUGUAUUAUAUAUUUAAGGCUGUAUUUACACAAUUUGGAUUGAGGAUGAAUAUGUUAGCCACAGCUCAUUAAAGAAAGACCCAUGGAUUCGUCAUGGUUGGUCGCUUUUCAAAGUCUCUUGAUAGAGCAUCUGAAGAAUAAAAUGUGCAUAUUGGUGAGGCCAAGCUUAGUUUUUGAGCACUACAGCUCUGUGGCUUAGAAACUGGUUGGAAAAGUCCUUACCUGAUUCAAACUGCAGCUUGGCCAGCCCUCUUCAUUCACUUCACACAGCGCUUCACUCUGUUAGACCCUCACACCCUCUCAGUCUCUCUCUCACACACACACACACACAAACACACACCCCACUUGCCCCUUCAAAGACUAUGCCUUCUGUUUCUGACCUUUGGAUUUUCUCUCUGGGGAAAGACUGCCCCCUGCUGGCUUGCUUCAGGCUUGGUCCAGAGCCUCUCUCUUGAGCAAGAGUCUUGGAGAUGAAGAGUUUCAGAAUCCAGCUCACCGUGAUGUAUCCAAUCUAAGCUUAGGACCUGCGGUCUGGCCAGUCUUGAAUUUGGAAAUGGUGACACCAAAGCCCUCGGGGUCGGCCCCUCCAGGCAGAACAGCGUGCCCUUUUCCUGCCUGUCCUCAUCCUGCUCCCAGCCCACCACCUCUCUGGACCAGGCCAUCCAUCCUGUGACUGUCAUUUUAAACAGCCAUCAUUUCAGGCCAGCUUUGCUCAGACUUGCACCACAACAGAAUGUGCAAAAGAAAAAAAACGCAGACGAGACCAUGAACUAAAAACCCUAAACAGCUGAAAUCACCCCUCAACGUGCCUGCAGAUCACAGUGUAACACAGGAUUUUAUUGCCCAAAUAGGCAACUCAUGCUUCCCGAGUGUAACCAAAGCAUGUGGUGUUUCGGGGCCGUAUGCUCCGGGUUUCUAUUUUGGAAACUUUCAGCUGUCUUGCUUAUGUACCAUCUUUUUCCCCCAGAUCCUCAGGGUUCAUGCGACCUGAGUUGAAAAGAGGCGACAAAAAUAAACAGGAGGCUGUACAAUUCUCUACUGCUGUCAUGAUUCAGUCACGUGCAAAUGUUGGUGAGCAUCAUAGCAGCCACAGGUGUGAUGAACAGGAAGUAAGUGAACCGAAUCACGAGAACAGGAAGGAAGCAUAAGAAGCUCUUUAGUCCAUUUCCUUGCCUCCACAUGGGACCAUCCAGAGGCGUUGACAU
Molecule: RNA transcript, 4508 nt
Organism: Eubalaena glacialis (North Atlantic right whale)
Lineage: Eukaryota; Metazoa; Chordata; Mammalia; Artiodactyla; Balaenidae
Gene: SGPP2
Gene name: sphingosine-1-phosphate phosphatase 2
Exons: 7
Source: RefSeq, a predicted model, not a curated record